AUGAACGCUGGCGGCGUGCCUAAUACCUGCAAGUCGAGCGAACAGACGAGGAGCUUGCUCCUCUGACGUUAGCGGCGGACGGGUGAGUAACACGUGGAUAACCUACCUAUAAGACUGGGAUAACUUCGGGAGACCGGAGCUAAUACCGGAUAAUAUAUUGAACCGCAUGGUUCAAUAGUGAAAGACGGUUUUGCUGUCACUUAUAGAUGGAUCCGCGCCGCAUUAGCUAGUUGGUAAGGUAACGGCUUACCAAGGCGACGAUGCGUAGCCGACCUGAGAGGGUGAUCGGCCACACUGGAACUGAGACACGGUCCAGACUCCUACGGGAGGCAGCAGUAGGGAAUCUUCCGCAAUGGGCGAAAGCCUGACGGAGCAACGCCGCGUGAGUGAUGAAGGUCUUCGGAUCGUAAAACUCUGUUAUUAGGGAAGAACAAAUGUGUAAGUAACUAUGCACGUCUUGACGGUACCUAAUCAGAAAGCCACGGCUAACUACGUG
RNAcentral lists this ribosomal RNA (496 nucleotides) under uncultured bacterium. RNAcentral describes it as "partial 16S ribosomal RNA". It matches the Rfam family "Bacterial small subunit ribosomal RNA", at positions 29 to 507 of the family's 1533-position model. The record is from RNAcentral.